AUUGAGCGCUGGCGGCAGGCUUAACACAUGCAAGUCGAGCGGGGGAAGGUAGCUUGCUACCGGACCUAGCGGCGGACGGGUGAGUAAUGCUUAGGAAUCUGCCUAUUAGUGGGGGACAACAUCUCGAAAGGGAUGCUAAUACCGCAUACGUCCUACGGGAGAAAGCAGGGGAUCUUCGGACCUUGCGCUAAUAGAUGAGCCUAAGUCGGAUUAGCUAGUUGGUGGGGUAAAGGCCUACCAAGGCGACGAUCUGUAGCGGGUCUGAGAGGAUGAUCCGCCACACUGGGACUGAGACACGGCCCAGACUCCUACGGGAGGCAGCAGUGGGGAAUAUUGGACAAUGGGGGGAACCCUGAUCCAGCCAUGCCGCGUGUGUGAAGAAGGCCUUAUGGUUGUAAAGCACUUUAAGCGAGGAGGAGGCUACUUUAGUUAAUACCUAGAGAUAGUGGACGUUACUCGCAGAAUAAGCACCGGCUAACUCUGUG
This 485-nucleotide ribosomal RNA is filed under the name uncultured bacterium. RNAcentral describes it as "partial 16S ribosomal RNA". It matches the Rfam family "Bacterial small subunit ribosomal RNA", at positions 30 to 507 of the family's 1533-position model. The record is from RNAcentral.